RNAcentral lists this ribosomal RNA (1537 nucleotides) under Salmonella enterica subsp. enterica serovar Heidelberg. RNAcentral's name for it is "partial 23S ribosomal RNA". It matches the Rfam family "Bacterial large subunit ribosomal RNA", at positions 1283 to 2803 of the family's 2925-position model. The record is from RNAcentral. Lineage: Bacteria; Pseudomonadati; Pseudomonadota; Gammaproteobacteria; Enterobacterales; Enterobacteriaceae.
CAGAAGUGCGAAUGCUGACAUAAGUAACGAUAAAGCGGGUGAAAAGCCCGCUCGCCGGAAGACCAAGGGUUCCUGUCCAACGUUAAUCGGGGCAGGGUGAGUCGACCCCUAAGGCGAGGCCGAAAGGCGUAGUCGAUGGGAAACGGGUUAAUAUUCCCGUACUUGGUGUUACUGCGAAGGGGGGACGGAGAAGGCUAUGUUGGCCGGGCGACGGUUGUCCCGGUUUAAGCGUGUAGGUGUGUGUUCCAGGUAAAUCCGGUUCACUUUAACACUGAGGCGUGACGACGAGGCACUACGGUGCUGAAGCAACAAAUGCCCUGCUUCCAGGAAAAGCCUCUAAGCAUCAGGUAACAUCAAAUCGUACCCCAAACCGACACAGGUGGUCAGGUAGAGAAUACCAAGGCGCUUGAGAGAACUCGGGUGAAGGAACUAGGCAAAAUGGUGCCGUAACUUCGGGAGAAGGCACGCUGACACGUAGGUGAAGUGAUUUACUCAUGGAGCUGAAGUCAGUCGAAGAUACCAGCUGGCUGCAACUGUUUAUUAAAAACACAGCACUGUGCAAACACGAAAGUGGACGUAUACGGUGUGACGCCUGCCCGGUGCCGGAAGGUUAAUUGAUGGGGUCAGCGCAAGCGAAGCUCCUGAUCGAAGCCCCGGUAAACGGCGGCCGUAACUAUAACGGUCCUAAGGUAGCGAAAUUCCUUGUCGGGUAAGUUCCGACCUGCACGAAUGGCGUAAUGAUGGCCAGGCUGUCUCCACCCGAGACUCAGUGAAAUUGAACUCGCUGUGAAGAUGCAGUGUACCCGCGGCAAGACGGAAAGACCCCGUGAACCUUUACUAUAGCUUGACACUGAACAUUGAGCCUUGAUGUGUAGGAUAGGUGGGAGGCUUUGAAGUGUGGACGCCAGUCUGCAUGGAGCCGACCUUGAAAUACCACCCUUUAAUGUUUGAUGUUCUAACGUGGACCCGUUACCCGGGUUGCGGACAGUGUCUGGUGGGUAGUUUGACUGGGGCGGUCUCCUCCUAAAGAGUAACGGAGGAGCACGAAGGUUGGCUAAUCCUGGUCGGACAUCAGGAGGUUAGUGCAAUGGCAUAAGCCAGCUUGACUGCGAGCGUGACGGCGCGAGCAGGUGCGAAAGCAGGUCAUAGUGAUCCGGUGGUUCUGAAUGGAAGGGCCAUCGCUCAACGGAUAAAAGGUACUCCGGGGAUAACAGGCUGAUACCGCCCAAGAGUUCAUAUCGACGGCGGUGUUUGGCACCUCGAUGUCGGCUCAUCACAUCCUGGGGCUGAAGUAGGUCCCAAGGGUAUGGCUGUUCGCCAUUUAAAGUGGUACGCGAGCUGGGUUUAGAACGUCGUGAGACAGUUCGGUCCCUAUCUGCCGUGGGCGCUGGAGAACUGAGGGGGGCUGCUCCUAGUACGAGAGGACCGGAGUGGACGCAUCACUGGUGUUCGGGUUGUCAUGCCAAUGGCACUGCCCGGUAGCUAAAUGCGGAAGAGAUAAGUGCUGAAAGCAUCUAAGCACGAAACUUGCCCCGAG